This 274-nucleotide ribosomal RNA is filed under the name uncultured bacterium. RNAcentral describes it as "partial 16S ribosomal RNA". It matches the Rfam family "Bacterial small subunit ribosomal RNA", at positions 523 to 796 of the family's 1533-position model. The record is from RNAcentral.
AGACAGAGACCACGAGCGUUAUCGGAAGUGACUGGGCGUAAAGGAACCGUAGGCGGCACGGCGCGUCGUCGGUGAAAGCCCCCGGCUCAACCGGGGAACUGCAUUGCAUACUGCUUGGCUAGAGCUUAGGAGGGGAAAGUGGAACUCCUGGUGGAGCGGUGGAAUGCGUAGAUAUCAGGAGGAACGCCAGAGGUGAAGACGACUUGCUGGCCUAAUGCUGACGCUGAGGUGCGAAAGCUAGGGUAGCGAACGGGAUUAGAAACCCCAGUAGUCC